UUGAAAGCUGGCUCCUUCGGAGUCCGCGUUGUAAUUUGUAGAGGAUGAUUCGGCAAGGGCUCCCGCCUAAGUCUCCUGGAACGGAGCGUCAUAGAGGGUGAGAAUCCCGUAUGCGGUGGGCUGCCUAAGCCAUGUGAAUCUCCUUCGACGAGUCGAGUUGUUUGGGAAUGCAGCUCUAAAUGGGAGGUAAAUUUCUUCUAAAGCUAAAUACCGGCCAGAGACCGAUAGCGCACAAGUAGAGUGAUCGAAAGAUGAAAAGCACUUUGGAAAGAGAGUUAAAAAGUACGUGAAAUUGUUGAAAGGGAAGCGCUUGCAGCCAGACUUGUCCGCAGUUGCUCAGCCGGUCUCCUGACCGGUGUAUUCUUCUGCGGCCAGGCCAGCAUCAGUUCGGGCGGUCGGAUAAAGACCUCGGGAACGUAGCUCCUCUCGGGGAGUGUUAUAGCCCGGGGUGGAAUGCGGCCAGCCUGGACUGAGGAACUCGCUUCGGCUAGGAUGCUGGCGUAAUGGCUGUAAGCGGCCCGUCUUGAAACACGGACCAAGGAGUCUAACAUCUAUGCGAGUGUUUGGGUGUCAAACCCAUGCGCGUAAUGAAAGUGAACGGAGGUGGGAACCCUCACGGGUGCACCAUCGACCGAUCCUGAUGUCUUCGGAUGGAUUUGAGUAAGAGCAUAGCUGUUGGGACCCGAAAGAUGGUGAACUAUGCCUGAAUAGGGUGAAGCCAGAGGAAACUCUGGUGG
Molecule: ribosomal RNA, 737 nt
Filed under: Botryosphaeria agaves
Lineage: Eukaryota; Fungi; Ascomycota; Dothideomycetes; Botryosphaeriales; Botryosphaeriaceae
Description: eukaryotic LSU rRNA
Rfam family: Eukaryotic large subunit ribosomal RNA
Source: RNAcentral